Molecule: long non-coding RNA, 2279 nt
Organism: Phascolarctos cinereus (koala)
Lineage: Eukaryota; Metazoa; Chordata; Mammalia; Diprotodontia; Phascolarctidae
Source: RefSeq, a predicted model, not a curated record
AGCAGGCAGGCACAUGUAUGUUGGCUCUUUUCCUGCUUGUGACAGCUCCAGAUUUGGAAUAUUCAGGGGAUGAAUCCUUAAAUCAGCAUCACAGUCUCAGGAGUCCCAGGCCUAAGGAGAAAAUUAAAGUGGGUAUCAGUCUGGUGGGAUAAAGAGGAGAUUGUGAGCUGAAGGAGGCUCUGGGUGCUUGCCUCUGCAGAUACACACGUAAGGGAGGACUGACCUAUGACGGCCUGAAGAGUACGUGCAGGGAAUCCCUGUGGAUAUUUGAGUCAUCAAAAUUCCAUUGACAAGAUAAAAAUCAGGAUGAAUGGCGAUGGCCUGGGAUACAGUGGAUGACCUUGGUGUCUUCAAUGUCUGACCAAACUCUAAGCACUCCAUGCAGAGUCUGCUUCAGCCUCUUUGAUGGCCAUUGGAACAAAUUGUUUCCAUCCACUCAUUCCACCAGGGAGAGACAUUCCCUUACCUCGCCAACGGGUUUGAGGCCUGUUGGUUACCCUCAACUUGGUUUAUUCCAUCUGUGAGACUGUUUUACCAGGCUAUGACUGCUGUGCAUGCUACAGCUUCUUAGGGCCACAGGUGAGAGUUGGGUGACAGGUGGACACCAAAGGUAGACGAGCAGCCCUGAAAAGGGCACAGCAAGUCCUUGCACCACAAGUGCUAGUCCUCCCUGAACAUGUUUCACUUAUAAUACAAUAUAAUCUUCUGUGUGUUUAUUGAAACUGGAAAUGUUUGUGUCAUUAAAAAUUACUCGGAAUGUUUACUAUUAUUUAUUUCAUUCCAUGAGAUCAGAAAUAAUUGGACUCUGCCACUUGCCUUACCCUCAAAAUAGACUGUAGCUACUACUGUAUCACCUAUUUUAAACCAGUGAAAUUCAGUAACAUUGAGAUAAGAAAUGCUCUACGGGGUCAGACCAAUGAUCUAUCUAGCUCAGGAAUUCUUAUUCUGGGGGUUCAGGGAUAAAUUACAGGGAGUGUAUAAACCAACAGGGGAAAAGAUGACAUAUUUAUUUUCAUUUUCAUUAACUUCAUUUCAUUUCAUUAACCUCUAACUGAAAUUUAGCAUUUCCUUUAAUUACUUAAACCAUUAUUCUGGUAAGGAAUUACUAGGCUGCCAAAGGAUCCAUGGUACAAAAAAGGUUAAGAAACCCCGAUCUAGCCUAUUAUGGUAGUAUGUCACUCAUCUAGACAUUAACUACCUAGCAAACUAAUCUAUCCGUAAAAGCAGAGAACCAGAAAAUUAGAGAAAAGGUGUCUGAGAUGUCAAGUAAAUGCCACAAAGUCCAUAUUCUAAAAGCACAUGGAGUUUACACAUUGGGAAGCCCUUCAGACCUUUACUUUUUCUUAUUUUAUACAUAGUUCUAACAAGCUGAGUUUCCUGAUCUCUCAGCCCACAGCAUAUUAGAAAAAGUGGAGUGGAUGAACAUACACCAACAACAAUGAGAAAUGAUUAGUUGAGAGAUUAAUGACAGUGAAUAGAAAGCUGACCUCAGAGCCUAGAAGACCCAGAUUCAAGUCCAUACCAGUUAUGCAUGUCUGGAUAAGUCAUUUAAACCUUUCAGAGUUCCAGUCAGUUCUCUAAAAUUAAAAAUGGCAGAAGAAGUUGCCUAUCUGUAUCGUAGGUGACGUUUCCUCAUCUGGUAGCUCUCUCUAUCAGGGAAGUCAUAGAUAUAAGUUCUAUCCUUGUCUUUAUAAAGACAAGGAAGAUAAGAAAAAUUGUAAAAAGCAGAUCCAAGAAUUCAAAAGUCACAGCAAUAUGAGGCCAUUAGGUGCAGAAUUAGAAUUCUCUGUAUAAUUCAAUAAAUCUUAAAGGUAUCACUACAUUAUAGCACAAUACAAGAUGUUCAUAAUGAUUAUUCUGAGUAAUCAAGAAAAGAUUAAAUUACAUUCAGCAAUAUAAGUAGGCAGGGAAAUAGGUAAUAUAAUUUUAGAACAUUUGCAUGCAAAUGUAUAAAUGUGUAGAGCAGACCUACGCAACUUGGCAGUAGAUUCAGGAUGCAGAUAGGUUAGAGCAGUUUAGUCACCUCUACUCAGAAAAGAAGUACAAAACAGAAAAAGUGCCUAAGACUCUGAGACCCAGUCUCAGGCUCUCCUAGGCAUGACGUGCAUAUUUGCUUUUAUGUGCUCAUAGCCACCAUAUAACUGUAGUGGGAAAAAGGGUGAAUUUCCCUUUCCCCACUGCCAAGAGAAGUCUCAUGAUCAUAAGAUAUGAAUAGGCUCCAAAAUCGUUGAAUCAGUUCACAAUUCCACCAUUAAUGAGUUAGUGUUCCAAUUUUUCCA